CCUACGGGAGGCUGCAGUAAGGAAUAUUGGACAAUGGCCGCAAGGCUGAUCCAGCCAUCCAGCGUGCAGGAAGAAGGCCCUAUGGGUUGUAAACUGCUUUUGUCAGGGAAUAAACCCCUGGAUUUACUCCGGGGCUGAAGGUACCUGAAGAAUAAGCACCGGCUAACUCCGUGCCAGCAGCCGCGGUAAUACGGAGGGUGCGAGCGUUAUCCGGAAUUACUGGGUUUAAAGGGUGCGUAGGCGGCACUGUAAGUCAGGAGUGAAAGUUUGCGGCUCAACCGUAAAAUUGCUUUUGAUACUGCGGUGCUAGAAUUAGGAUGAGGUCAGCGGAAUGUGGCAUGUAGCGGUGAAAUGCAUAGAUAUGCCAUAGAACACCAAUUGCGAAGGCAGCUGGCUAGACCUGGAUUGACGCUGAGGCACGAAAGCGUGGGGAUCGAACA
Molecule: ribosomal RNA, 440 nt
Filed under: uncultured bacterium
Lineage: Bacteria
Description: bacterial SSU rRNA
Rfam family: Bacterial small subunit ribosomal RNA
Source: RNAcentral